Molecule: ribosomal RNA, 535 nt
Filed under: uncultured bacterium
Lineage: Bacteria
Description: bacterial SSU rRNA
Rfam family: Bacterial small subunit ribosomal RNA
Source: RNAcentral
UACCCAGGCUUGAACAGCGAGUGACCACGUCCGAAAGGGCGCUUCCGCAAGGACACUCGUAGAGGUGCUGCAUGGCUGUCGUCAGCUCGUGUCGUGAGAUGUUGGGUUAAGUCCCGCAACGAGCGCAACCCUUGUCUACUGUUGCCAUCAGGUUAUGCUGGGCACUCUGUAGAGACUGCCGGUGAUAAACCGGAGGAAGGUGGGGAUGACGUCAAGUCAGCAUGGCCUUUAUGUCUGGGGCUACACACGUGCUACAAUGGCAGAUACAAACCGUCGCGAGACCGCAAGGUGGAGCUAAUCGGAGAAAGUCUGUCUCAGUUCGGAUCGCAGGCUGCAACUCGCCUGCGUGAAGUUGGAAUCGCUAGUAAUCGCGGAUCAGCACGCCGCGGUGAAUACGUUCCCGGGCCUUGUACACACCGCCCGUCACAUCACGAAAGCCGGUUGUACUAGAAGUCGCCAUACUAACCCGCAAGGGAGGGAGGCGCCUAAGGUAUGGUCGGUGAUUGGGGUGAAGUCGUAACAAGGUAACCAAGGG